UUUUUGAUUUUAAUUUAAAGUCAAAUCUGCCCACUGAUUAAUAUUAAAGGGCUGCAGUAUAUUGACUGUACAAAGGUAGCAUAAUAAAUAGUCUUUUAAUUGAAGACUUGUAUGAAAGAUUUGAUGAGAUAUAAACUGUCUCUUUUUUAUAUUUAGAAUUUAAUUUUUUAGUAAAAAAGCUAAAAUUAUUUUAAAAGACGAGAAGACCCUAUAGAGUUUUAUAGUUAAUUUAUUUAUAAAUUUAUAUGUAAAAUUUAAAAUUUAAUUAAUUUAAUUAUUUUGUUGGGGUGAUAGAAAAAUAUAUUAAACUUUUUUUAAAAAAUUACAUUAAUUAAUGAGUAUAUGAUCCAUAAAUUAUGAUUAAAAGAAAAAAUUACCUUAGGGAUAACAGCGUAAUUUUUUUUUUUAGUUCUUAUAGGAAAAAGAGUUUGCGACCUCGAUGUUGGAUUAAGAUAAAAUUUAAAUGUAGAAGUUUAAAAUUUUUGAUCUGUUCGAUCAUUAAAAUCUUACAUGAUCUGA
This 519-nucleotide ribosomal RNA is filed under the name Parnara guttata (straight swift). RNAcentral describes it as "partial 16S ribosomal RNA". The stretch from base 384 to 519 matches the Rfam family "Bacterial large subunit ribosomal RNA", at positions 2473 to 2608 of the family's 2925-position model. Lineage: Eukaryota; Metazoa; Arthropoda; Insecta; Lepidoptera; Hesperiidae. The record is from RNAcentral.